GAUGAACGCUGGCGGCGUGCCUAAUACAUGCAAGUCGAGCGAACAGACGAGGAGCUUGCUCCUCUGACGUUAGCGGCGGACGGGUGAGUAACACGUGGAUAACCUACCUAUAAGACUGGGAUAACUUCGGGAAACCGGAGCUAAUACCGGAUCAUAUAUUGAACCGCAUGGUUCAAUAGUGAAAGACGGUUUUGCUGUCACUUAUAGAUGGAUCCGCGCCGCAUUAGCUAGUUGGUAAGGUAACGGCUUACCAAGGCGACGAUGCGUAGCCGACCUGAGAGGGUGAUCGGCCACACUGGAACUGAGACACGGUCCAGACUCCUACGGGAGGCAGCAGUAGGGAAUCUUCCGCAAUGGGCGAAAGCUUGACGGAGCAACGCCGCGUGAGUGAUGAAGGUCUUCGGAUCGUAAAACUCUGUUAUUAGGGAAGAACAAAUGUGUAAGUAACUAUGCACGUCUUGACGGUACCUAAUCAGAAAGCCACGGCUAACUACGUG
This 497-nucleotide ribosomal RNA is filed under the name uncultured bacterium. Its description in RNAcentral is "partial 16S ribosomal RNA". It matches the Rfam family "Bacterial small subunit ribosomal RNA", at positions 28 to 507 of the family's 1533-position model. The record is from RNAcentral.